UCUGUUGCAAAUACUAUUAGUGCCGCAUCCGGUGCUAUUUUGGAGUGUAAGGAUGGGUGGGUUGAUUUUAUCCCUACAUGGAGGGUAGGGCUAGACGGAGUAGAGUGUAGAGGCUGACUGGGUAGGAUUUCUGAUUGCAUAUCUGUACUAUUACUGUUACUAAAAUGGGCUAAGGCUCACACUGAUACUGAUACUAUAAUAGGCUAAAGCCCUAACUGAAACUGAACUUUUACUAAUAUGGGCGGACUUAAGCCCAAAUUGUAUUUGCCUACUGUAUAAUUGACUAUUUGUACUUAAGGAUUACACACUAAGUUUUCAUAAACUCACCAUACUGCUUUUCUGCGCAGGUAAUCCCUAGGAGGAUCGGUGCUGCGAGGGACUCAAAGGUGGCCACAAAAGUAAUUUGAUUUGGGUAUUUGUUAUGUAAUAAGGCCUCUUUAAAUUUUU
RNAcentral lists this long non-coding RNA (447 nucleotides) under Gossypium barbadense (sea-island cotton). RNAcentral's name for it is "long non-coding RNA (GBAR_LNC004174)". Lineage: Eukaryota; Viridiplantae; Streptophyta; Magnoliopsida; Malvales; Malvaceae. The record is from RNAcentral.